Molecule: ribosomal RNA, 177 nt
Filed under: Triticum aestivum (bread wheat)
Lineage: Eukaryota; Viridiplantae; Streptophyta; Magnoliopsida; Poales; Poaceae
Description: partial small subunit ribosomal RNA
Source: RNAcentral
AUGUCCAAGAUCCUUUCCCAUGAUAUAGGCAAAGACUACAUAUCUAUUGCUAGAUUUUGGCCAGCUCAUAAACAUAAAAUGGUCUUGAACUCGGUUUGUGCCUGUGUUAUAUGGUGCAUCUGGAAGUUCAGAAAUUCCAUGAUCUUUAAUAAUGUGAUGUGGACUGAUCUUAAAUAG